CUAUACAUGCAAGUCGAACGCGCAGCGAAAGGUGCUUGCACCUUUCAAGCGAGUGGCGAACGGGUGAGUAACACGUGGAUAACCUGCCUCAAGGCUGGGGAUAACAUUCGGACACAGAUGCUAAUACCGAAUAAAACUUAGUAUCGCAUGAUACAAAGUUCAAAGGCGCUACGGCGUCACCUAGAGAUGGAUCCGCGGUGCAUUAGUUAGUUGGUGGCGUACAGGCUUACCAAGACGAUGAUGCAUAGCCGAGUUGAGAGACUGAUCGGCCACAUUGGGACUGAGACACGGCCCAAACUCCUACGGGAGGCUGCAGUAGGGAAUCUUCCACAAUGGGCGCAAGCCUGAUGGAGCAACGCCGCGUGUGUGAUGAAGGCUUUCGGGUCGUAAAGCACUGUUGUAUGGGAAGAAAUGCUCAACUAGGGAAUGACUUUAGCUUGACGGUACCAUACCAGAAAGGCACGGCUAACUACGUGCCAGCAGCCGCGGUAAUACGUAUGUCCCGAGCGUUAUCCGGAUUUAUUGGGCGUAAAGCGAGCGCAGACGGUUGAUUACGUCUGAUGUGAAAGCCCGGAGCUCAACUCCGGAAUGGCAUUGGCAACUGGUUAACUUGAGUGUUGUAGAGGUAAGUGGAACUCCAUGUGUAGCGGUGGAAUGCGUAGAUAUAUGGAAGAACACCAGUGGCGAAGGCGGCUUACUGGACAACAACUGACGUUGAGGCUCGAAAGUGUGCGUAGCAAACAGGAUUAGAUACCCUGGUAGUCCACACCGUAAACGAUGAAUACUAGGUGUUAGGAGGUUUCCGCCUCUUAGUGCCGAAGCUAACGCAUUAAGUAUUCCGCCUGGGGAGUACGACCGCAAGGUUGAAACUCAAAGGAAUUGACGCGGACCCGCACAAGCGGUGGAGCAUGUGGUUUAAUUCGAAGCAACGCGAAGAACCUUACCAGGUCUUGACAUCCUUUGAAGCUUCUAGAGAUAGAAGUGUUCUCUUCGGAGACAAAGUGACAGGUGGUGCAUGGUCGUCGUCAGCUCGUGUCGUGAGAUGUUGGGUUCAGUCCCGCAACGAGCGCAACCCUUAUUGUUAGUUGCCAGCAUUCAGUUGGGCACUCUAGCGAGACUGCCGGUGACAAACCGGAGGAAGGCCGGGACGACGUCAGAUCAUCAUGCCCCUUAUGACCUGGGCUACACACGUGCUACAAUGGCGUAUACAACGAGUUGCCACCCUGCGAAGGUGAGCUAAUCUCUUACAGUACGUCUCAGUUCGGACUGCAGUCUGCAACUCGACUGCACGAAGUCGGAAUCGCUAGUAAUCGCGGAUCAGCACGCCGCGGUGAAUACGUUCCCGGGUCUUGUACACACCGCCCGUCACACCAUGGGAGUUUGUAAUGCCCAAAGCCGGUGGCCUAACCUUCGGG
This 1415-nucleotide ribosomal RNA is filed under the name Leuconostoc holzapfelii. RNAcentral's name for it is "bacterial SSU rRNA". It matches the Rfam family "Bacterial small subunit ribosomal RNA". The record is from RNAcentral. Lineage: Bacteria; Bacillati; Bacillota; Bacilli; Lactobacillales; Lactobacillaceae.